GUGCCAGCAGCCGCGGUAAUACGUAGGGGGCAAGCGUUGUCCGGAUUUAUUGGGCGUAAAGAGCGUGUAGGCGGCCAGGCAGGUCCGCUGUGAAAACUCGGGGCUUAACCCCGAGACGUCGGUGGAAACCGCCUGGCUAGAGUCCGGAAGAGGAGAAUGGAAUUCCCGGUGUAGCGGUGAAAUGCGCAGAUAUCGGGAAGAACACCCGUGGCGAAAGCGGUUCUCUGGGACGGUACUGACGCUGAGACGCGAAAGCGUGGGGAGCGAACAGGAUUAGAUACCCUCGUAGUCC
RNAcentral lists this ribosomal RNA (292 nucleotides) under uncultured bacterium. Its description in RNAcentral is "partial 16S ribosomal RNA". It matches the Rfam family "Bacterial small subunit ribosomal RNA", at positions 505 to 796 of the family's 1533-position model. The record is from RNAcentral.